RNAcentral lists this ribosomal RNA (578 nucleotides) under uncultured bacterium. Its description in RNAcentral is "bacterial SSU rRNA". It matches the Rfam family "Bacterial small subunit ribosomal RNA", at positions 338 to 916 of the family's 1533-position model. The record is from RNAcentral.
CCUACGGGAGGCAGCAGUAGGGAAUAUUGGUCAAUGGACGCAAGUCUGAACCAGCCAUGCCGCGUGAAGGAUGAAGGCCCCAUGGGUCGUAAACUUCUUUUAUUAGGGAAGAAAAAGCGGGAUGCGUCCUGUACUGACGGUACUUAAUGAAUAAGGAUCGGCUAACUUCGUGCCAGCAGCCGCGGUAAGACGAAGGAUCCAAGCGUUGUCCGGAUUUACUGGGUUUAAAGGGUGCGUAGGCGGAAAAUUAAGUCAGUGGUGAAAGCCCGCAGCUCAACUGUGGAACUGCCAUUGAAACUGGUUUUCUUGAAUAUAGCUGAGGCAGAUGGAAUAUAACCUGUAGCGGUGAAAUGCUUAGAUAUGUUAUAGAACACCGAUUGCGAAGGCAGUCUGCUAAACUAUUAUUGACGCUGAGGCACGAAAGCGUGGGGAGCGAACAGGAUUAGAUACCCUGGUAGUCCACGCCCUAAACGUUGAUUACUCGCUGUUGGCGAUAUACUGUCAGUGGCUAAGCGAAAGCGUUAAGUAAUCCACCUGGGAAGUACGACCGCAAGGUUGAAACUCAAAUGAAUUGACGG